RNAcentral lists this transfer RNA (78 nucleotides) under Candidatus Woesearchaeota archaeon. RNAcentral's name for it is "tRNA-Arg". It matches the Rfam family "tRNA". Rfam says of the family: Transfer RNA (tRNA) molecules are approximately 80 nucleotides in length. The record is from RNAcentral. Lineage: Archaea; Nanobdellati; Candidatus Woesearchaeota.
GGGCCUGUGGCCUAGUCUGGAUAAGGCGACAGCCUUCUAAGCUGUAAACCCAGGGUUCAAAUCCCUGCAGGCCCGCCA